GGGAUUGCCCUAGUAACGGCGAGUGAAGCGGCAAUAGCUCAAAUUUGAAAUCUGGGUCCUUUUAGGGCUCCGAGUUGUAAUUUGCAGAGGGUGCUUUGGCGUAGGUAGCGGUCUAAGUUCCUUGGAACAGGACAUCGCAGAGGGUGAGAAUCCCGUUUGUGGUCGCAUGCCUUCGCCGUGUAAAGCCCCUUCGACGAGUCGAGUUGUUUGGGAAUGCAGCUCUAAAUGGGAGGUAAAUUUCUUCUAAAGCUAAAUACUGGCCAGAGACCGAUAGCGCACAAGUAGAGUGAUCGAAAGAUGAAAAGCACUUUGGAAAGAGAGUCAAACAGCACGUGAAAUUGUUGAAAGGGAAGCGCUUGCAGCCAGACUUGCCCGUAGUUGCUCACCUAGGCUUUUGCCUGGGGCAUUCUUCUGCGGGCAGGCCAGCAUCAGUUUGGGCGGUCGGAUAAAGGUCUCUGUCAUGUAGCUUCCUUCGGGAAGAACUUAUAGGGGAGGCGAAAUGCGACCAGCCCGGACUGAGGUCCGCGCUUCGGCUAGGAUGCUGGCGUAAUGGCUGUAAGCGGCCCGUCUUGAAACACGGACCAAGGAGUCUAACAUCUAUGCGAGUGUUUGGGUGUCAAGCCCGAGCGCGUAAUGAAAGUGAACGGAGGUGGGAACCCUUUGGGUGCACCAUCGACCGAUCCUGAUGUCUUCGGAUGGAUUUGAGUAAGAGCAUAGCUGUUGGGACCCGAAAGAUGGUGAACUAUGCUUGAAUAGGGUGAAGCCAGAGGAAACUCUGGUGGAGGCUCGCAGCGGUUCUGACGUGCAAAUCGAUCGUCAAAUUUGGGCAUAGGGGCG
This 837-nucleotide ribosomal RNA is filed under the name Stagonospora pseudovitensis. Its description in RNAcentral is "eukaryotic LSU rRNA". It matches the Rfam family "Eukaryotic large subunit ribosomal RNA", at positions 71 to 925 of the family's 3401-position model. The record is from RNAcentral. Lineage: Eukaryota; Fungi; Ascomycota; Dothideomycetes; Pleosporales; Massarinaceae. RNAcentral also lists the same sequence under 1 other name.